GAUGAAGAACGCAGCGAAAUGCGAUAAUUAAUGUGAAUUGCAGAAUUCAGUGAAUCAUCGAGUCUUUGAACGCACAUUGCGCCCCCUGGUAUUCCGGGGGGCAUGCCUGUCCGAGCGUCAUUGCUGCCCUCAAGCCCGGCUUGUGUGUUGGGCCUCGUCCCCCCUCCGGGGGACGGGCCCGAAAGGCAGCGGCGGCACCGUGUCCGGUCCUCGAGCGUAUGGGGCUUUGUCACCCGCUCUGUAGGCCCGGCCGGCGCCUUAGCCGACGACACAAUCUUUUUUUUCAGGUUGACCUCGGAUCAGGUAGGGAUACCCGCUGAACUUAAGCAUAUCAAUAAACGGAGGA
RNAcentral lists this unclassified non-coding RNA (346 nucleotides) under soil metagenome. RNAcentral describes it as "partial contains 5.8S ribosomal RNA, internal transcribed spacer 2, and large subunit ribosomal RNA". The stretch from base 1 to 120 matches the Rfam family "5.8S ribosomal RNA", at positions 35 to 154 of the family's 154-position model. The record is from RNAcentral.